AGGGUGCGAGCGUUGUCCGGAAUCACUGGGCGUAAAGGGCGCGUAGGUGGCGGUCCAAGUCUGUGGUGAAAGCUCGCCGCUUAACGGCGAGUCGGCCACGGAGACUGGGUGGCUCGAGCACUGUAGGGGCAGAUGGAAUUCCGGGUGUAGCGGUGGAAUGCGUAGAGAUCCGGAAGAACACCAGUGGCGAAGGCGGUCUGCUGGGCAGUUGCUGACACUGAGGCGCGACAGCGUGGGGAGCAAACAGG
Molecule: ribosomal RNA, 248 nt
Filed under: uncultured bacterium
Lineage: Bacteria
Description: partial 16S ribosomal RNA
Rfam family: Bacterial small subunit ribosomal RNA
Source: RNAcentral